Molecule: ribosomal RNA, 543 nt
Filed under: uncultured Glomeromycotina
Lineage: Eukaryota; Fungi; Glomeromycota
Description: SSU rRNA
Rfam family: Eukaryotic small subunit ribosomal RNA
Source: RNAcentral
AGGGCAAGUCUGGUGCCAGCAGCCGCGGUAAUUCCAGCUCCAAUAGCGUAUAUUAAAGUUGUUGCAGUUAAAAAGCUCGUAGUUGAAUUUCGGGGUUAGUAGGUUGGUCGUGCCUCAGGUAUGUACUGAUCUCACUGAUUCCUCCUUCCUGAUGAACCGUAAUGCCAUUAAUUUGGUGUUGCGGGGAAACUGGACUGUUACUUUGAAAAAAUUAGAGUGUUUAAAGCAGGCUAACGCUUGAAUACAUUCGCAUGGAAUAAUGAAAUAGGACGUUCGAUCCUAUUUUGUUGGUUUCUAGGAUUGACGUAAUGAUUAAUAGGGAUAGUUGGGGGCAUUAGUAUUCAAUUGUCAGAGGUGAAAUUCUUGGAUUUAUUGAAGACUAACUACUGCGAAAGCAUUUGCCAAGGAUGUUUUCAUUAAUCAAGAACGAAAGUUAGGGGAUCGAAGACGAUCAGAUACCGUCGUAGUCUUAACCAUAAACUAUGCCGACUAGGGAUCGGAUGAUGUUAAUUUUUUAAUGACUCAUUCGGCGCCUUACGGGAA